This 214-nucleotide unclassified non-coding RNA is filed under the name fungal sp. RNAcentral describes it as "partial internal transcribed spacer region". The stretch from base 1 to 46 matches the Rfam family "Eukaryotic small subunit ribosomal RNA", at positions 1786 to 1831 of the family's 1831-position model. The record is from RNAcentral. Lineage: Eukaryota; Fungi.
AAGUCGUAACAAGGUAACCGUAGGUGAACCUGCGGUUGGAUCAUUAACAAAUUAUAGGAUCGUCUGGCUCGCCAGCGACUCUUGACAUUUUGUGAAUAGUAACUGUCUCUGGCCAGUCUAGUUUUAGGCUGGCAUUGAACCUAGUAAAAUCAUUAGCCUUUAAAUAAAAAGUUUUAAUUAAAAACAACUUUUGGCAACGGAUCUCUAGGCUCUC